RNAcentral lists this long non-coding RNA (2034 nucleotides) under Homo sapiens (human). RNAcentral describes it as "non-protein coding LINC01896:29". Lineage: Eukaryota; Metazoa; Chordata; Mammalia; Primates; Hominidae. The record is from RNAcentral.
GCCUUCGCUGCUCCGCCGCGGCUCUCAGCGCCGCUCAGCGCGGCGGGCCCGCCCGGGCUCAGGUGCCCCCCGCUCUCCGGACCUUCUCGCCCGGCCCCGCGUCCCCUCCGCGGGCUUCCCCCGGCGGCCGGCCGGGCUCGGAGGCUCGCGGCCGGAGCGGAGCGGAGUGCGCACGCCGGGGUGGCAGGACUUCGGCAAGACCAACUUUCCGGUUCGGAAGCGGCGCGGGCCGCGCGGCUCCUCCCCUCCUCUCCCUCCCCUGCGUUCCCCCUCCCUUCCACUCCCCCCUCUCCCCGCCCCCCAACCCGCGGGCCCCACCGACUCCGGAGCGCCCGCCCCGCCCGCUGCUGCCACCGGGCCGCCUCGCCCCCGCGCCAGCCCGCCUGGGCCUCUGCGCCGCCGGCGGCUUCUUAAAUACAGGAAAGGGAGGGGACCGCAGGGCCCCGGUGUUCCCCACCCUAGUCCCCCUUCACCACGGGCCACCGGGCGCCAGCGGAGUGGGCAGCGAGCGCGACCGAAAGUUCCAACUCCACCAAACUCCCGCGCGCGGCCCACCCUUUCCCGGGAUUUCGGGGAUGACACGGGGGCCAGGUGAGGGGGCUGCGCACUUCUGGAUCGGCCCCACACACUCGGCCCCUGGCGCGGCGCGCUCCCCGCACACGCGCCCGCCCCCUCCCCGCGGUCACACGCACGCGCCCUCGCCCUCGCCCCGCGCGCACAGGCGCGUACUCCCACCCGCGGCCGUGCACCCGCCGCGCUCCUUCCCGCGCGUGUCCUCUCUCCCCGAGCGGCCGCCAGGAUGUGCCCCCGGCCCCGUCGUCGCCGCGCCCGCGCCCCUCGCCCCAGUACGUCUUUUUUCGUUUCCUAAAUUUCUUAUUUUUGUCCUUGCAAGUGGUCCUGUCUGGUGUGAACCGUCAGCACAGAUGGCCUCCUGGAGCUUCCCCGAGUCGUUCGCUGGGGGAAGCGGGCGGUGAGCGGCCAGCCCGGGCGCUCCGCAGGCCGCGAGCUCCCGGCAGGGCUGGUGGCGGGGGUCCGCCUGGGGGAGGAAUCCCCGCCUGCUCCAUCGGACCCGGCCUGGCGCGGCUCGCGGCGCUCGGCGGGCUCCCUUCCAUUCUAGAAUCUUCCCGCUUGCUUCCCAGCCCGCGUUCUUCCGCCUGCCUUUAAUUGUGUGUGGACGUGGGGAGGAUCUUCUAAGUCCCUCCAACGAAGGCAAGUGUGAGACUCUGGCCCUUUAUUUGUAAGAAGCAAGCCUUCAGAUUGCAGAAGUGUCGCGCGGGUCGCCGUGCGUUGCGCGAGUGGGAAGAUGGAGGAGGCCGGCACGCUGCUUUCGUGGACGCAAGUGAACCGGGCGUGAAGGCAGGGUGCGAGCUCUGCCCUUGGCCCAGCCCUGCGUGGGCGCCGUCCCAGAUUCCGGGCGGUGCGGGGUGCAGAGAUCUGGAGAGACUUGCGGGCUCCCCAGCGCAGGCUGCUCUGGGAUUUCGUUGGAAGAUCCGGCAGAGCCUUGGAGGAGAGGGCCCGGGAGGCUGUGUGUGCAGCGGAAACUUGUACGAAUGCCCCCACAGCGGAAAUGGUGCGCACGAGUAAUUUCUGCGGUGCACCCUUUUAAAAAUUGACAAGUGAACAAGAUCAAUUUUUUAAGAAAGCAAAGGUAGAAAACAAAAGGCGUGCGACUUCUUGACUGGCUUGUUCCCGCCUUUCUUCCUUCUCUAUACUCAGAUCAGAAACUUUUCUUUAAUUGCUCUUAUUCAGUGCGACAACUUUUAAUAAAAGCAUUUGCAUUUUAAGCCUGAGUUGCAACCAUAGAUUUAUUGCGAAGUGACAACGUGUCUAUGGAAUAUUUUCGCAGAUGAGACAGGACAUGCGCUCUAGUCGUGCCCAGAUUAAAGCGACGCUGGGCCAUGUGCCUGUGUAGUGCAGACUCGGAGGGGCACACACAUACUCGUCACCACAUGACCACUGUCUAUUAAUAUUGUCAUACCUAAACACUCGCAAAAACAAAAGUUGCUUUUCUUCCCUGUAAUUAAAUCUAAUUUG